AGUGAACGCUGGCGGCGUGCCUAAUACAUGCAAGUCGACCGGAGUGGCGCGCGGGCGAGUAAUGUAUAGCUAAGCUGCCCUACACUAGAGGACAACAGUUGGUAACGGCUGCUAAUACUCUAUAGUGUAGGAUGAGGCUAUACUGGAUCAGCUAGUUGGUGAGGUAAUGGCUCACCCAGGCUAUGACGCAUAACUGGUCUGAGAGGAUGAUCAGUAGAACUGGAACUGAGACACGGUCCAGACUCCUACGAGAGGCAGCAGUAGGGAAUAUUGCUCAAUGGGGGAAACCCUGAAGCAGCAACGCCGCGUGGAGUAUGACACUUUUCGGAGCGUGAACUCCUUUUGUUAGGGAAGCGUUACCUAACGAAUAAGCACCGGCUAACUCCGUGCCAGCAGCCGCGGUAAUUC
Molecule: ribosomal RNA, 408 nt
Filed under: uncultured bacterium
Lineage: Bacteria
Description: partial 16S ribosomal RNA
Rfam family: Bacterial small subunit ribosomal RNA
Source: RNAcentral